CAGCCGCCGCGGUAAUACGUAGGUGGCAAGCGUUGUCCGGAAUUAUGGGCGUAAGGGCUCGCAGGCGGUUUCUUAAGUCUGAUGUGAAAGCCCCCGGCUCAACCGGGGAGGGUCAUUGGAAACUGGGAAACUUGAGUGCAGAAGAGGAGAGUGGAAUUCCACGUGUAGCGGUGAAGUGCGUAGAGAUGUGGAGGAACACCAGUGGCAAAGGCGACUCUCUGGUCUGUAACUGACGCUGAGGAGCGAAAGCGUGGGGAGCGAACAGGAUUAGAUACCCCCGUAGUCCCUGUCUCUUAUACAC
Molecule: ribosomal RNA, 301 nt
Filed under: uncultured bacterium
Lineage: Bacteria
Description: partial 16S ribosomal RNA
Rfam family: Bacterial small subunit ribosomal RNA
Source: RNAcentral